CAAAACGGUACGCUCUCUCUCGCCCCGACCGGCGACGCCGAUGGCGACGACGCCGGAGAGCGGAGAAGGAGGGAUAGCAGCAGCGCUACUGGAGGAGACCGCGGAGGCGCCGUACCUCCUCCCCCCCCCCCCCCCCCCCCCCCCCCCCCCCCCCCACUCCCUCUCUCCUGUCCGGCGGCGAGCUCGGCGGCGAUGGGAAGCAGCUGCGGCGGAAGCUGUGGCGACUGGAGCAACCCAUCACCGGCAUCACUCUCCCACGACGGUGGGCUAGAAUGAAGAGCUCAUGUAUAAGUGGCCAUGUUUGUGGAGGAAUUCAUGGCCGACAUCACCAGCAAUGAACGGACACGUCCUCUCCGGCCUAGCAAGUUUUGCUAGAAACCACUUUUGGACCGAUAGGACAGUGAUUGAGGUGCUGCGCUCUAACUUGACACCGUGGGGUCGUCUUCGACUUAAAAUCUGAUGAAGCCAUGAGCGUUUGGUGUCGUUGUGGCGGCUGCUAGCAAGUGCGCAAGCAGAUAAGUCAGCCAAGACUCUUCCGUUGAUCAGUCGAAUCUGGUGUGAUUGAUGAACUCUAAAUCCAGCCUGUGUUUUUGCUUGAUGAAACAACGCAUAUAUAUUGUAUGAUC
Molecule: non-coding RNA, 626 nt
Organism: Triticum urartu
Lineage: Eukaryota; Viridiplantae; Streptophyta; Magnoliopsida; Poales; Poaceae
Source: RefSeq, a predicted model, not a curated record